RNAcentral lists this ribosomal RNA (587 nucleotides) under Acidovorax sp. BvORR176. RNAcentral's name for it is "bacterial SSU rRNA". It matches the Rfam family "Bacterial small subunit ribosomal RNA", at positions 102 to 685 of the family's 1533-position model. Lineage: Bacteria; Pseudomonadati; Pseudomonadota; Betaproteobacteria; Burkholderiales; Comamonadaceae. The record is from RNAcentral.
ACGGGUGAGUAAUACAUCGGAACGUGCCCGAUCGUGGGGGAUAACGGAGCGAAAGCUUUGCUAAUACCGCAUACGAUCUACGGAUGAAAGCAGGGGACCGCAAGGCCUUGCGCGGACGGAGCGGCCGAUGGCAGAUUAGGUAGUUGGUGGGAUAAAAGCUUACCAAGCCGACGAUCUGUAGCUGGUCUGAGAGGACGACCAGCCACACUGGGACUGAGACACGGCCCAGACUCCUACGGGAGGCAGCAGUGGGGAAUUUUGGACAAUGGGCGCAAGCCUGAUCCAGCCAUGCCGCGUGCAGGAUGAAGGCCUUCGGGUUGUAAACUGCUUUUGUACGGAACGAAAAGACUCCUUCUAAUAAAGGGGGUCCAUGACGGUACCGUAAGAAUAAGCACCGGCUAACUACGUGCCAGCAGCCGCGGUAAUACGUAGGGUGCAAGCGUUAAUCGGAAUUACUGGGCGUAAAGCGUGCGCAGGCGGUUAUGUAAGACAGAUGUGAAAUCCCCGGGCUCAACCUGGGAACUGCAUUUGUGACUGCAUAGCUAGAGUACGGUAGAGGGGGAUGGAAUUCCGCGUGUAGCAGUGAA